GAACCUACCUCAGACUCAGGGAUAACCGCCCGAAAGGGUGGCUAAUACCGGAUAGUCUCGUAAGAGUAAAGCUUUUGCGGUCUGAGAGGGGCCUGCGGCCUAUCAGCUAGUUGGUAAGGUAAUGGCUUACCAAGGCGAUGACGGGUAGCUGAUGUGAGAGCAUGAUCAGCCUCGAUGGGACUGAGACACGGCCCAUACUCCUACGGGAGGCAGCAGUGAAGAAUCUUCCGCAAUGGACGAAAGUCUGACGGAGCAACACCGCGUGGUGGAUGAAGGCCUUCGGGUCGUAAACACCUUUUCUGAGGGAAUAAGUUCUGAAGGUACCUCAGGAAUAAGGCGCUGCUAACUACGUGCCAGCAGCAGCGGUAAUACGUAGGCGCCAAGCGUUAUCCGGAAUUAUUGGGCGUAAAGCGUCUGUCGGCGGCAAUAUAAGUCUGGUGUGAAAUUUCAAUGCUCAACAUUGAAUGCGUACUGGAAACUAUUUUGCUAGAGUCUAAGAGGGGCCACUGGAAUUUCCGUUGUAGGGGUAAAAUCCGUAGAUAACGGAAGGAACACCAAAAGCGAAAGCAGGUGGCUGGCUUAGUACUGACGCUCAGAGACGAAAGCGUGGGGAGCGAACGGGAUUAGAUACCCCGGUAGUCCACGCCGUAAACUAUGAGUGCUAGAUGUAGGAAGGGCUCGACCCCUUUCUGUGUCUACAGCUAACGCGUUAAGCACUCCGCCUGGGGAGUACGGUCGCAAGACUAAAACUCAAAGGAAUAGACGGGGACCCGCACAAGCGGUGGAUCAUGUGGUUUAAUUCGACGAUAAGCGAGAAACCUCACCUGGGCUUAAAUGCAGAACGACGUACCGGGAAACUGGUACUCCCUUCGGGGCGGACUGCAAGGUGCUGCAUGGUUGUCGUCAGCUCGUGCCGUGGGGUGUCGGGUUAAGUCCCGCAACGAGCGCAACCCUUGUCUUCAGUUGCCAGCGAUUCGGUCGGGGACUCUGGAGAUACUGCCCCGGUUAACGGGGAGGAAGGUGGGGAUGACGUCAAGUCCUCAUGGCCUUUAUGCCCAGGGCUACACACGUGCUACAAUGGUCUGUACAAAGGGUGGCGAACCUGCGAAGGCAAGCCAAUCCCAAAAAGCAGGCCUCAGUUCGGAUUGGAGUCUGCAACUCGACUCCAUGAAGUUGGAAUCGCUAGUAAUCGCGGAUCAGCAUGCCGUGGUGAUACGUUCCCGGGCCUUGUACACACCGCCCGUCACACCAUGAGAGUUGGCUGUACCCGAAGUCGCGGGCCAACCGUAAGGAGGCAGGCGCCGAAGGUAUGGCUGAUGAUUGGG
RNAcentral lists this ribosomal RNA (1325 nucleotides) under uncultured organism. RNAcentral describes it as "partial 16S ribosomal RNA". It matches the Rfam family "Bacterial small subunit ribosomal RNA", at positions 122 to 1479 of the family's 1533-position model. The record is from RNAcentral.